ACCCCAAGCCUGGCUGCAGAUCACAAAACCACAUUCACGUCGAAAGCAACAAUCCCCCAAAUCUGUCUUGCAAACGCCGUAGAUAACGCAGAUUCCAUGGCCGUUUGUUCUCUUUCGCUGACCAGCUGCGUGUUCUCGCUCAGACCUCCUAUUCGGUCAUAUUUGUCGUUCGACCGCGCUCUCGAACUAUGGUUUGAAACUGUGCCUGAACUCUUCAUUUCUUCAUUUCUAAAUCGAAUCUAGGUUCUCUAGUUACUUUUCCUUUGUCAAUUGAGAAAUCAAGCUCGCAUUUUUUAAUUACUCUGACCGAUUUCAAACAUUUCUAGGUUUUCAUUAGCUAAUUGUAUUUAUGUGAUCGUUCGAAUCCUUGCUUGAACGUUAACAGACUCAAUAAUGUUGUCUGAGAAAUCCAGUGACGACCAUGUCACAACCAACCACAGUGAUUCCUCUUCGCUUUCGGCGAGAGAGAAGAAGAGCCCUGUUACGGCCGAUGAGAAGAAGAACUCUAUGGCCGAUAAGGUGAAGGAGAUUGUUGAUACCACUGACCUCCACUUGGAUGUACUGGUUGAUUUGCAUCCUACCGUUUCCCCCAAUCCUUUCGGUUUAGGCCGAGCCUUCGAAAACAUCCCACCCUCUUCCUUGUCCGAAUUCUACCCAUUACCUGAGAAAAAACUUCCUUUUAGUCAGAAAUUUGAAGCUGAAGAUUCUAAGGGCCCAUUUUUCUACAUUAGGAGUUGGCACAUACCCAAUCAAGAUUGGAUUGAUUGGGUGGAUCGUGUAGAGGCCGAGAAAGGAGACCUAUGGAAGGAAUUGGAUAUCUAUGAUGCCAUUAUGUUUAGCAAAGUUAAGGUUUCUAUAGACAAGCCUCUGCUAUUUUCUUCUCUUUUCUUUUGGUCUGUUUCGACCAAUGCUUUCCAUUUUCGGUGUGGGAUGAUGAGUCCCACUAUUCAGGAUGUUUGUUUUCUAACGGGGCUUAGGCCGCAUGGGGAGGAAAUACAUCCUCUUCUUUUUAAUCCGCACAUUGCUUAUGACUAUCCAACCAAGGAUGCAGCCACUGGGACUAGGCACAUAUCAUCUUACAGCCAUUUUCUGUCUGUUUGCAAAGGAACCGGCCCGGUCACACUGACUGAACAUAUAGCAUUUUUGAUUUAUUGGUUGAACAAAUGUAUGUUCCGUGGUCCUGCAGGUGCAAUUACUAAAGAUUUCACCCAAGUAGCUAUUGCAUUGGCAUCAGGCCAAAAGCUGGCCUUGGCACCUUUAGUUCUCUCCCAUCUUUACAGAGCUAUUCAUGACUUUAUUGCUGUGAACUUUGCCACUGGUGCAGGUCCAUUAUGGCUCCUCCAAUUUUGGCUCCAAGCUUACUUUCCCGAGCUUGGUCCACAGAUCAACCCUUAUGCUGAUGUUCCCCUUUAUGGUUAUCACUAUCUUGCUGCUCAGCCAAAAUCCCAAAGUUUUGCAGCCUGUUUUUGCUACUUCUAUGACCAGGCUAUAUAUCGGUCUCCCAUGCAGUUUAUUCCUUUUCUUCCCAGGACCAAGGGACCCAAGUGGCUUCUAUACGGCCCUGGCGAAGCUCCUCCUGCAGAUGCUGAGGAACACCAUGCUGUUUGGUCUAGCUUUCUUAUAGGCAGGGACCUACACUAUAGCCCCGCACGUCUAGGUUCUGCCAAUUGUAAGUGUGGAGUUGAAUAUUACAAUGCCGCCCAAUUGGCUAGACAAUUUGGUCUCACACAAUUGGUUCCUCUUCCUCCUUACCCUUCCUGCAACAAGGUGUUUUCCAUUCGAAGCUUUAUCUCUUCUGAUGCUCAAAUAAAGAAUACCUCAAAUCUUUUCCAAGAUUUCAAAACUGAUUUUCAAGUAAAAAGGUUUGAGGAAAUGCCCAACUCUACUUCAGCUUUUGACAUCUGGUGGACAAAAUACAUAAUUACCACACGGGUUGAGGAUGCUGGGACGGUUUUGAUGCGUAUUAGUGCAUAUUUUGGUUCGUUGGAGCCCAACAAAUCAGUUAUCAACUCUAAGAAGAAUGAUGGUUCUGUUCCCACUGUUGUGCGGAUAAAGAAGAGAAAACCUCCAACCAGAAAAAGUAAAGCUGCCCUGCCUCCAACGCAACCAAUCCUUUCGGCACAUGAGGAAGAGAAGGAAGAAGAAGAUGCCCUUGCUUGUCCUACCUAUAAGAAGGUUAGAAAGUUAAAGACUUCAGCUACAUUUCCUCGUGGCAAGCGUGCUCCUCAAAUUUCCAAGGAGAAGGAGAAGAGAAAGAAGAGAAAGGUAGAAAGGAAGAACAAUGAUGAAGUUCUCCACAUGGAAGCCCAGCCAAAGGGUUCAUCACAAGAAGUCACUUUGGCGGCUGUUGCUGACAUUGGUAUUCCUGUGGCUGAUAUUUCUUCAACAUUGGCCUUUCCAUCUAUAUCUUCAACCAUUGCUGCUAUGGUCCGAACAGCUGCUGAAUCAACUGAGACCAAAUCUCCUACUUGGGUCAACAAGGAAAUUUGUUCAGCCACAACUUCUUCUUCCCCAGGAAACCAAGGCUCCAUGGAAGAGUUGGACGCCUUCUUCCGUAGCAUAGAGUCAUCAGUUGACGCUGAUGAAGAAGUGGGUGAAGUUACUGUGGUAGCCACUCCUCCACUAACAGGCCCCUCUGAGGAAGAUAUUGAGAAGGCCAAAUCUUUUUUAAUGUCCACAGUUUCCAAGGAUCUUUCUGAGCUGCCUAACAUUACUGCAGAACUAACUAACGCUCUUUCAGUCCUGACCAGCAUCUUUGUUUUUACAACUGAACAGUUUGCUGCAUUGGUCACACUUCAAAAGCAGCUUCCUACCAUUUUGGCUGAGUAUCACUCCUUCACUAAGACCUCACAAGAUUGUGAUUCCAAACUUCAACUGAAGAAGAGCUUGGGAGAUCAAUUGAAAGCUAAUGUGGCCAUGUAUAAGCAAUCAAAAGAGACUCGAGCCAGGUUUACCCAGAGAGAAACCGAGAUUGAAAAGGAGAUAGCCAGGCUUCAACUUGAGCACAGCAGCAUUAGAAAGGAGAAUGAGGAGAUUGGGUACAAACUUAAAGACCUCCAAAAGGAAACCAUUGAGCUUAACAAACAUCGGUCACAAAUCAUUGCGGAAGCACCCAGGCUGGAAGCUGAGAAGAAGAAAGCUGAAGAAGGAGUUGCUCGGACUGAGCAAAUAUGGACUGAACUUAGAAGCAAAUUUGUGAAUAUAAUGUGAAUAUUUCAAUGUAAUUAAUGAGGAAUUGAAAUCUAAAGGGUCUCUUCUCUGCUCAUCAGGUGUUCCGGAUUUGCCAUGUUGCUAUCCCCUUCUAUUACUUGCCUAAGUCAUGGGUUAUGCAGGAAGAAAUUCUCACUGGAGGGCGCACUAGGCUCAGGCUCAACGCUCUGUUGAAAGGUUUCAACAAUAUUAACAAAAAAGUCACCAGACUAAAGAAAAUGCACAACUUGGAUGAACUAACUGAAGAAAUCAUGAAGUUGGAUAUGAACAAGGAAAAGACAGGAUCAUCAGUUGAAUGUUUCAGUAAGGUCCUCAAUCUUGAAGCUUGAUGCAAAUUGAGAUUUACUACUUAUUGUUGGUAAUGUUUUUAUAUUUUCUUUCCUCUUUGGGUUGAUAUGAAAAGUCAUAUAUUUUCUUCUCUUUGGGUCAUAAGUUUUUGAUAAAAUGUUUUGGGACUUGGUGAUAGUUAUUACUGGAGUAGGAGGAGUUUCAUUUGGAUCGUACUUUGGUUUACUUGGCUAGAAAAUCUGAAACCAUUCCAUAUUAAAGCCUCAACGUUCCAUUUUACACUGUUUAUAUGUUAUUAUAUGAUCUUAGAAACUGGUCUAUGAAAAUCAAGUUGAAAAAGGUUGAUUUAGAGUACUAAACAUAUUUAUUAUUUUUUUCAUUUUUCUAGAUUUUGCCCCAAACAAUUAGAGGAAAAGGAAGACAAAACAAAAUGUUAUGAUCAAGAAAAUAUAUGCAAAUAUCUCAUUUAGUAGACCCCUCAUACAUACGCGUACCAAACUUUAGGAUCAUAUAGUAAUUAAAAAAAAAAAAAAAAAAAAAAAAAAA
Molecule: RNA transcript, 4044 nt
Organism: Cornus florida
Lineage: Eukaryota; Viridiplantae; Streptophyta; Magnoliopsida; Cornales; Cornaceae
Exons: 7
Source: RefSeq, a predicted model, not a curated record